UAGGGAAUCUUCCACAAUGGACGCAAGUCUGAUGGAGCAACGCCGCGUGAGUGAAGAAGGUUUUCGGAUCGUAAAGCUCUGUUGUUGGUGAAGAAGGAUAGAGGUAGUAACUGGCCUUUAUUUGACGGUAAUCAACCAGAAAGUCACGGCUAACUACGUGCCAGCAGCCGCGGUAAUACGUAGGUGGUAAGCGUUGUCCGGAUUUAUUGGGCGUAAAGCGAGCGCAGGCGGAAGAAUAAGUCUGAUGUGAAAGCCCUCGGCUUAACCGAGGAACUGCAUCGGAAACUGUUUUUCUUGAGUGCAGAAGAGGAGAGUGGAACUCCAUGUGUAGCGGUGGAAUGCGUAGAUAUAUGGAAGAACACCAGUGGCGAAGGCGACUCUCUGGUCUGCAACUGACGCUGAGGCUCGAAAGCAUGGGUAGCGAACAGG
Molecule: ribosomal RNA, 429 nt
Filed under: bacterium
Lineage: Bacteria
Description: partial 16S ribosomal RNA
Rfam family: Bacterial small subunit ribosomal RNA
Source: RNAcentral